AAUAAUUUCUGUGUUUCACUACUGACUCACAACAUUCCAGAACAUUUAACGGUUGGCUCUCCUUGAGUGGUACAAGCCGGUUCCAGCACAGCACUGGGAUUAAAGGGCCCCAGAAACAAGUGAGGGGUGCUGAGCACUCUUGGGGCUGGGGCUGACCUCCUCUGGGAUCAAGACAGGUCUUGGGUACGGCCCGUGGCGCUGGGACAGGAGGAGGCACAGGCAAGAGUUUCUCUGCUGCAGGUUUCACUCACCGCCUCCCCAGCCCUCCUGUCUUCAGCCUGGACCUUGACUACCCCUCGUCUCCCGCCCUGAAUGUGGAGGCAGCCCCCAAACCCCUUUCCAGCACAGUCAGACCUACCCUUCUCCGUGCAUCACAGAGUCAUCAUUGUCAUGGUUGCUGCUGUUUUGCUCUCACUCACUCAUUGAAGGGGACGCUGUGGGAGUGAUCUUGGCCAUGUGGGUCCGAGAGCCAGGGCCCCAGUCCUGACCUCACUGAGGGCCUUGGGCCAAUUGCCGACCCUGCCAGGCCUGACGCGCACCUUUACAGUGUGGGUGGGACUGAGGACCCUUGGGCUUUCUUCGACUCCAGGACAAACUGUUGCUUCAGGUCCACCUUGAUGACAGGACAGCGGGUGACAACCUGCAGCUUCCAGGAGCCACAGCAGCAUCCACUGGUGCUCAAUCCUGCUGUGAAAGCUUCUCCCUGGGAACUGGCUGAGGAUGCUGGCGCAGGAUCUGCCAUCUGAUAGCUCAGCCCUCGCCAGGAGAAAACAAAACACAGUUUCUGAAGUCUGACCUGGUCCGGGAAAGCUUCCAGCCAAGGGCAGGAUGGGCCCAGGAUGCGUGGCUCUGCGUCCAAGGAGCCUGGUCUGCAGGCCUCCCUCCAGGCACCUGGACCUGUGCCUCCCUUUGCUUCUACGGAGCGUCGCUAAGACUAAGUCACGGAACCCACAGGCCUGUCUAGCACGCUGGCGUCCACAGGCUCCUUCUCCUGGUCUCAGUAGUAAGAGGUCGAAGAAAGGAUAAAACUAAAGUUUAAUCCACUAGAAGGUUUUCUGGAGAGAGAGAGAGGGAGAAAUGA
This 1081-nucleotide long non-coding RNA is filed under the name Equus caballus (horse). RNAcentral's name for it is "lncRNA (ENSECAG00000044159.1)". The record is from RNAcentral. Lineage: Eukaryota; Metazoa; Chordata; Mammalia; Perissodactyla; Equidae.